UAAGGAAUAUUGCGCAAUGGGCGAAAGCCUGACGCAGCGACGCCGUGUGGGGGAUGAAGGUCUUCGGAUUGUAAACCCCUUUCGGGAGGGACGAUGGGAUGGGUAACCAUUCGGACGGUACCUCCAGAAGCAGCCACGGCUAACUUCGUGCCAGCAGCCGCGGUAAUACGAAGGUGGCAAGCGUUGUUCGGAUUUACUGGGCGUACAGGGAGCGUAGGCGGUUGGGUAAGCCCUCCGUGAAAUCUCCGGGCCUAACCCGGAAAGUGCGGAGGGGACUGCUCGGCUAGAGGAUGGGAGAGGAGCGCGGAAUUCCCGGUGUAGCGGUGAAAUGCGUAGAGAUCGGGAGGAAGGCCGGUGGCGAAGGCGGCGCUCUGGAACAUAUCUGACGCUGAGGCUCGAAAGCGUGGGGAGCAAACAGGAUUAGAUACCCUCGUAGUCCCUGAGCGGGCUGGCAAGGCGCAU
RNAcentral lists this ribosomal RNA (462 nucleotides) under uncultured bacterium. RNAcentral's name for it is "bacterial SSU rRNA". It matches the Rfam family "Bacterial small subunit ribosomal RNA", at positions 355 to 825 of the family's 1533-position model. The record is from RNAcentral.